AUGAUUUGAUGAGGAUUUCGUAACUCAUUAGUUGAACUUCCCGCUAGCUGUACCGUUAAUGUUAUGGUAAUACGGCGCAUGCGUUGUUCAUCAACACUUACAUACAACCACGGAUAAGUAUUUGUUUCUUGUAUUUUCGGGAAAAAAUGCCGAUAUUUUAAAAGUUUUAUACCGAUUUUAUUUUUUUUAACACAAUGAGCGAUAUUUUUUUUUUUAACUGCAACUAAUCAAAUGAUUAAUCUCUAGAUUUUUUAGAUGAGAACGUUCAAUCUAAACGUCUUUGCGUUCAAAUUCAACGUACGUACGAUCUCUGUAUUGCGCGCGCGCAUAGCCUAUAUAUAUAGCGAGCGCCUAUAUAGCUAGCCGAAGCCUACAGCGAUGCGGAUGCGGUUCCAAAAUAUAGGCUCAACGAGCACGAUAUCCACCUAGAUUCGUCUGUACUAUUCGCGUCUCGAAAUACCUCAUUUUCUGGCGUUUUCAUCAUGGAUGAAAGACUUUAAUGAGCUUAUUGCUGAUAUAUCAAAUAUCUCCAGGAAAAGACAGAAAAAUGAAGAAUGGAUGAAAUCCAAAGCAAAAGAGCGGAGAAACAGUGCACUACUGAAGGUUAACGGCCAGCCGUUGUAUGCCGUCAUCCAUCACAACGCCUUUGUAAGGCAGCAAUCCUUGACGAGGGGGGGGGGGGGGCAUUGAUGACAUCUUCCAUGCUCUCUCUAAGAAGAUUCCAAGACAAGAUGCAUUCAUAGCAGCGUACAAAACGGAUGUUAAUUAAAAGCUCUUGCUCGCACGCAGUAGCCAUCAACAUUGAAGAGAAAAAUCAUGCAGCUACUGCUAUGCAUGGACCACGCACCUACCUUGAAACUGUCAAGGAGUUUUAUGCAGCAAUCUGCAUAUAUCGGAGCAAUGGAUGUUGAUAGUGAUGAGAAGGAGGAUGAAUCAACAGUUGUCAUGUAUCAUGUUUGAUGAAUGAAACUAUAAAGAGGCAUGUUAAUUUAAUUCAAUUGACAAAGUCGAUAAACGUAUCACUAAAAUAGUUCUGGAAUGCAUCAGAGUAUAGAUCCUUCCAGAUAAAUGAUUCCAUUAGGAAUGGUAUUUUACUAUUUUUGUUGUUGGUAGUUUAACUUUAAAGCUUUCAAAUUAAGAUGUGAAUUUGCCAAAUAUUCAUGGCGUAAGAUAAAACAGUUACAUGUAUAUAUGUUUUGAGAUUGAAAUUAAAUGGCGUACUAAUCACCUCCCGGAAGUACAGGCCAGGUAUCAAAAGAAACAGUUGCACCGUUGGUUUUAGGUAAAAUGUUAGCAUUAAUUAUGGUGACAUUGAUUACUUUUUGAAAUGUUUUACAGAAUUUUAUAAUGAGGUAUUUUGUAUAAACGAUCAAGUCGAUCAUUGUGUUUGCAAAACAGCAUACUACCAUACUGUUAUUUCCAAAUUUGCCCUGAGCAAUACACUCCUCUGUACUGAUCAGUUUACUGGUGCAAAUAAUCCUAAUAUUCCAUUGGUAAAGAAAGAGAGAGAAGAAACCUGUGUCAUCAAUAUAUUGAAGAUUGUAGAGGUAUGCGUGUGGAUGGAUGUCAGGUUAAAUGAUGUAUUUGUUGCACAUUAAACUUAUCAGUCUGGCGGGACGUUUGCCAUGAAGCAUACUCUCGACAGUCACUGUUAUGAAUUUGUUAGGUAACUUUAAUUCAAAUUGCUAGCAGCAUAGUGAAGGCUUGUCAAUAGUUCUGCUUCUGUAAUUCUGUUGAGUGUUGACACUGCAGCCUCUUCUAUCGUACCAUCACUUUUGGGCAGACUGCCCUUCUGUCUUUACACAAUUGAGAAAUAAAUGUUGUCAACCAGCAUAUGUUACUUUAAAACAAAAAUGAGAGUAAUGUAACAAGAGUUUUCUAUUACAUUUUAGCCUUGUGAAAGGAAAGUUAUGUAAUUAUCAUAUUUUUUUCCAUGUUAGUGAUGUCACAUAAUCAUUAAUGAUUCAAUGUUGUAUACAUACUCACAUUUUUAGUAAACAUUGUGAAUUGGUGAUGAUAAUGUACAUUAAUUGAUAUUUUGAAAAUUUAUAUUAUCACAUGGAAUGAUGACUAGGGCUGGCAGUAGGGGCAAUGUUUAGGAUUCUUUCAACUCUGUGGCUAAAUCAGGAUUCUCACCCUGUAACGACUAUAAAGUAGUUUUACUAAAAGUGCCGUAUUCAUAGUCGCUUAUAUUAUAGUGGCCAUGGAAUUUUUGUUAAAGGUUCUUAUAUCUCUAUUCUAAGUUCUUGCUCAUUUUUAUGUAUAACAAUGCCUUGGCAGAGAGUACUGUGCUACCACUGCUGUGCAGUGUUUACUUUUUAGUAUACUGAUAGACCAAUGAGUAAAUAAAAGAUAACAGUUAACAAAUAAUUGAAAAGAAUACGUAUUUUCAUUAAUUUUGGGAAUGGCUGCUGGUCCUGGAAAAAAACGGCUCCCUGUUCUUUAAAAAAUAAGAACCGAGAGCCUUGACUUACAUAAAUUUGUAACAAAAAUGUUCUUCUCGACCGCCUGCGAAACAUGUCCAGAUACUUAACCAACUGAGCUACAAAUUGUUUUGAUAUGAGAAAUAAAUUUGCUUUUGAUUAUUUUUCCCAUUUCUCAACGAAAGCCUUACUGGAGCCAGUUAUAAUUGGAAUGGAGUAACACA
This is a long non-coding RNA of Strongylocentrotus purpuratus (purple sea urchin), 2647 nucleotides long. RefSeq lists it as uncharacterized. The record is from RefSeq and is a predicted model, not a curated record. NCBI's taxonomy places the organism in Eukaryota, Metazoa, Echinodermata, Echinoidea, Camarodonta, Strongylocentrotidae. The transcript is spliced from 2 exons.